RNAcentral lists this ribosomal RNA (242 nucleotides) under uncultured bacterium. RNAcentral describes it as "partial 16S ribosomal RNA". It matches the Rfam family "Bacterial small subunit ribosomal RNA", at positions 524 to 764 of the family's 1533-position model. The record is from RNAcentral.
UACGAAGGGUGCAAGCGUUAAUCGGAAUUACUGGGCGUAAAGCGUGCGUAGGCGGUUUGUUAAGUCUGUUGUGAAAUCCCCGGGCUCAACCUGGGAAUGGCAAUGGAUACUGGCAAGCUAGAGUGUGUCAGAGGAUGGUGGAAUUCCCGGUGGCAGCGGUGAAAUGCGUAGAGAUCGGGAGGAACAUCAGUGGCGAAGGCGGCCAUCUGGGACAACACUGACGCUGAGGCACGAAAGCGUGG